Molecule: long non-coding RNA, 1763 nt
Organism: Felis catus (domestic cat)
Lineage: Eukaryota; Metazoa; Chordata; Mammalia; Carnivora; Felidae
Exons: 2
Source: RefSeq, a predicted model, not a curated record
GUCAGCACAGAGCCCGAUGUGGGGCUCGAACUCAGACUGUGAGAUCGUGACCUGAGCCAAAGUCGGGCACUCAACUGACUGAGCCACCCAGGCGCCACAAACAGAGCCUAAUUUAAUUCUUAAUCGAGACUGAAGCUCUUUCAUUAACAAUCAAAAAAUUAACUUGGUAUGGAAGAAUAACUGAUACGAACUUGGAAUGGCUAAAACAAUUGUUUAGCGUUUGGUGCUAAUGAGGCUAGACUCCUGGGUUCUGUCCCCCUGUAGACUGGUUACCUUUACCUUUACUUCCACAAUUAGGAAGGCAUUCCAAUCGGCAGAGCCAUCUUGCAGGUGCAAUAAUUGGACACUGGGGACGGGGCAAGAGUUUGUGAAUGGGUCAAGGCAGAUCAACCACCACCACUCCUAGAAAAUAAUUCAAAAGUACAUCUUUUACUGAGAGUAGGUCAUUAACGUACACACCCUUCCGUUUGCCAUCAUACACCCAGCUGUGUCACUGAAUUGAGCGGAAAGCUAAGUCUUAAAUCUCAUCCAAAGGAGAUUGUUGGAAGAAUCGAAAGUUCAUGAGGUGGGGUAGAAAGAACAUAUUACUUUGAUGUGGAUGUGGGGCUUGGGCACGAAUCCUAAAGAGAACAUUAGAUAGCAUGACUAUCAUUUAAGUGCAGUGUAGAUAACUGUCAGCGUGUAUCCUGGGCCAGUGUUUCUGAUUUAUUCAUCUGUUCGUUUUUUUUGAACAGGUGUCGAUUGGGCCACUAAGUAAGAGAAAAAGACUUGGCUUUGGGGUCGAUCAAUUUGGAGAUUGUGGGAAUCAACUCUUAACUGUCUCUUGGUUGCUGUCAGAACUUGUCAGACAAAUCACUCAAACUCUCAGAGCCUGAAUGACAACAGCGACUUCAGAGGGCUGUGGCCAGGAUUCAUCAAGACGAUCUGGGUGCUCAAUACAUGGAAGGAAAAUGCAUAAGUGUUUGGGGAUAAAGCAGCUUGGCCAUGUUGAAAAGCUUGAAAAGAGGGGAGAUUGGAGGCAUUGAAAAUCUGUGCUUUUCAUGGACGAAUGGCCUCUGCGGGACACGGCUACAUUUUCCAAGAGAAGAUUCCCAUUCAGCCAGUCAGACAGACCUGUUCACUGUUCUCUUCUGGGUCCCUUGCUUUAGAUGAUUGCUUUCCAUUUUCUCCCUGCCAACUCAUGUUCCAAUCUUCCUUCAGAAUUUGGCUCAAGGUUCACCUCCAUCAGGAGACCUAUUUGGUGUCUGGUCUAUAACUGAUUUUUAAUUUGGGUCAAUGAUCCAUUAAAGAAAAAUGGUUCCCUACUCUGAACUAUAUGACCGACUGCCGUGAGAUAUGCCAAGGUUUUGUAGACAGGAUUGAGAAACUGUACCAGUAAGAGUCAGUCAGCGGCUCUGUAGAAGAAAGCAGAUAGUGGAUCGGGUGGAAGUGAAGUCAAGCCCUCAUUAUAUUUCCCUCUUUGUGUACUUUUCUGGGAUGAUGCCCACGUCUGGAAAGAGGAGAAUGAAUAUAGCUCCGAAUAGGUUAGCUGUGAGUAAGCAUCUGUGUUCUUGGAUCUCUUAGCUUCGGGAGCAGGAGGAGGUCAGCUCGCUUAGGAGGGAAGGGAAGGAUUUUAAUUAAUGCACAGAUAUGCCCAGCAUGCAGGGCUAUGUAAAAUGGAAAGUUUUGCAACAAAUUAACUUCUGAAAAAUGUGUGAGGUUGCUCUGAUAACUUGCUUUUAUUUUGUGACCAGAGAGGAGAAAUGAAUAGAUCUUUAACAGUA